GAGAAGAGCACAGGGUGCUGGAUCUCUGGCCCACCAUACCAGCAUAGCAAUAAGGUUCUUGGCUGGGAGGUUUUAUUGACUGGCCUCAUUGUAACAUCUUGCCUGAGCAGUUGUAAAAAAGAUUUCAUUAUGGUGGUGAGUUAGAGCUUUUU
This 152-nucleotide long non-coding RNA is filed under the name Cyanistes caeruleus (blue tit). RNAcentral describes it as "lncRNA (ENSCCEG00000020795.1)". The record is from RNAcentral. Lineage: Eukaryota; Metazoa; Chordata; Aves; Passeriformes; Paridae.